AUACGUAGGGUGCGAGCGUUGUCCGGAAUUACUGGGCGUAAAGAGCUCGUAGGUGGUUUGUCGCGUCGUCUGUGAAAUUCCGGGGCUUAACUCCGGGCGUGCAGGCGAUACGGGCAUAACUUGAGUACUGUAGGGGAGACUGGAAUUCCUGGUGUAGCGGUGAAAUGCGCAGAUAUCAGGAGGAACACCGGUGGCGAAGGCGGGUCUCUGGGCAGUAACUGACGCUGAGGAGCGAAAGCAUGGGUAGCGAACAGGAUUAGAUACCCUGGUAGUCCAUGCCGUAAACGGUGGGCGCUAGGUGUAGGGGUCUUCCACGACUUCUGUGCCGUAGCUAACGCAUUAAGCGUCCCGCCUGGGGAGUACGGCCGCAAGGCUAAAACUCAAAGGAAUUGACGGGG
This 398-nucleotide ribosomal RNA is filed under the name uncultured bacterium. Its description in RNAcentral is "partial 16S ribosomal RNA". It matches the Rfam family "Bacterial small subunit ribosomal RNA", at positions 523 to 918 of the family's 1533-position model. The record is from RNAcentral.